AACGAACGCUGGCGGCGUGGAUAAGACAUGCAAGUCGGACGAGAUUUUUCGUUGUAGCAAUACGAUGGAAAAUUUAGUGGCGAACGGGUGCUUAACACGUGGGCAACCUGCCAGGAAGUGGGGGACAGCUCGCCGAAAGGCGGAUUAAUACCGCAUGUGAUUAGAGAGGACAUCCUUUCGAAAUUAAAGUCGGGGCAACCUGACGCUUCUUGUGGGGCCCGCGGCCUAUCAGCUAGUUGGUGAGGUAACGGCUCACCAAGGCUUUGACGGGUAGCUGGUCUGAGAGGACGACCAGCCACACUGGGACUGAGACACGGCCCAGACACCUACGGGUGGCAGCAGUCGAGAAUUUUUGACAAUGGGGGAAACCCUGAUCGAGCGACGCCGCGUGGAGGAUGAAGGUCUUCGGAUUGUAAACUCCUGUCAUUGGGGAACAAUGCACAGAUAUUAACUGUAUUUGUGUUGAUAGUACCCGAAGAGGAAGAGACGGCUAACUCUGUGCCAGCCGCCGCCGUAA
RNAcentral lists this ribosomal RNA (517 nucleotides) under uncultured bacterium. RNAcentral's name for it is "partial 16S ribosomal RNA". It matches the Rfam family "Bacterial small subunit ribosomal RNA", at positions 29 to 523 of the family's 1533-position model. The record is from RNAcentral.